UAGGGUCAUAAUUAGGGUUAGGGUCAUUAGUGCUUGGAGAGAGAGAAAGUGUAGAGUCCUGUUGUGUGUGCAGUUGUGUAAAGGCUCCCAAAGGGAGUUCAGGUCUAGCAAAAGGCUUCCAUUGUGAGCACUUUUUGAUGGGAGAAAUUGGCGAUGUUGGUGUUGGGUUAGGGUCAUAAUUGGGGUUAGGUUUAGGGUUACGUUUAGGGGAUUUUGUUACAAUA
Molecule: long non-coding RNA, 224 nt
Organism: Cygnus olor (mute swan)
Lineage: Eukaryota; Metazoa; Chordata; Aves; Anseriformes; Anatidae
Exons: 4
Source: RefSeq, a predicted model, not a curated record